Dreissena polymorpha is the source of this 3631-nucleotide long non-coding RNA. RefSeq lists it as uncharacterized. Lineage: Eukaryota; Metazoa; Mollusca; Bivalvia; Myida; Dreissenidae. The transcript has 2 exons. The record is from RefSeq and is a predicted model, not a curated record.
UCAUGAAGUAUAUAUUGCGCCACAACAUGUGAGUGCAAAGUUAACCCGUUAAGUCAGUGAUCAUGAGGUAUACUAUAUUCUGCGAGACAAUAUUUGUGUGCAAAGCGAUCACAUUAACAUGGUGUAAUAUAUAACACAACCAGGUCAGCUUAUUGUGCAACUAACAAUCGAUACUAGCAAAGACGAAGGCAAAGUUCAACAUAACUACGUUUGGUUGAUAAACCGUGAUCAUUAUGUACAUGGUGUAGUUUCAAAGGUUUAAAGCAGAUAUCAAUAUGUACCGUAGCGUAUUCAGUCUUCGUUCAGAGUGUUACGAACGAAAAACACAAUGGCGGAGAAAGGUUCGGAUUUAAUAUACGAGGUGUGCUGUGUUUUUUGUAAAGACGACAACGUAAAUUGGGAAGCAACAGUUUACUGUAAACAAUGUUCGAAAGGUCUUUGUGAUGAAUGUGUAAAGUAUCAUAAGAAGCUUUACAAAACUCACUCCACUCUUAGAAGAGAAGACAAAAAGAUGUGGCCUGUGGUCGAUACAACAUGAGCGGCUUUGAUGUUUUGUAAACAACACCCAGAUCAUCUCAUUGAGCUGUUUUGUGAAGAUCACAGUUAACUGUGUUGUUUUUUGUGUCACUUCCAUGAUCACAGACAGUGCAGUGAAGUUAGCCUAGUUGACGCAAAAGCCAAAGAAAUGCAUCAAAAAGGAGAGUUUCAUAAAGUUGCAACAAUACUUGAAUCAGAACAACAAACAAUUGAACAAGAAAUCAACACCAUCAAGACAUGCCUUCAGGCUUUGCAAACCUCGCAUGAAAAGGCGCAUGUAGAUAUCAAAGUUAUGCGUCAGAAAAUCACUGCACUUUUGGACACGCUAGAAAGGAACAGUGUGCAAUCUCUAAACACUUCAUACGAAACGUUGCAGAAAUCAUCGCUUCAGUCGCAUCUUUCAAUCUGUUUUAAAGCUCAAGUAGAUUUGCUGCAAAUUAAGGAUGCCAUAAAGGAUAUCGACGAUUAGAAGUACAUAUUUUCAUUUGUGGCAUAUGCGAAGUCAAAGGAAUAGGUUUCCAAGGCACAGAUGAUGAUUAAAACAAUGCCAGAACUUAAGUAUAAUGCCGUUGAAUUUCGCGCUAACACGGAUAUUGAGAAGAUGCUAUCCAUGUCUCUCAGGACUUGGUGAUGUGAUGCGUAUAGAAAAGAAGAAAGUAAGUAAAGCAAAUGAGAAAUUGAAAUGUACCAACUAUGCUAGGUACAAUGUCCGAAUAGACCAAGAUAAAAAGCUGUAAUAUUCGUGGCAUAUCUGAGGUAUCAGGUGGGUAUAUGCUGAUAAGUGACUAUAGUAACAAACGUGUGAAAUUGCUUGAUGGCCAAUGCAAAGUUAUCGCUCACAGAGACCUACCUGGGGCGCCAUGGGACAUGUAAGUCAGUAAGUCCUACUGAGAUCGCUGUUACAAUUGAUGAUCAAAGUACACGCGCUGUGCAAUUCCUUAUUGUGAACAACAGGAAGCUGGUGAAAAACAGGGUAUUGGAGUUGGAAUAUAGUUGUCUAGGCAUCGCACACUUUAAUGGCAAUCUAUUUAUGACAUCGGGUAGUUAUUUGUAUUCACUGGAUGGCGAGCUGGUGAAUAAGAUAUUUGAAGAUAUGUCUGAUAUAUGGACAGGUGAAAAAACAUGUAAGACUAAGAUAGAAAAUUGUGAUAAACUCAACAUUAAUUUUUCUAUUACAAAUAUUAUUUACUUGCUUAAAUCAUGCAUACGCUUUGUUAAAUUUAUACAAAGUUGUAUGGACCAUAAGUGUUCUUGUUUAAAUGUGUAUAUGAUUAAUUGAAUAUAUACACAAAUCGUUUACAUAUAAUAAGGGCAUAAUUUAUUGGAAAAAUUGUGUUUGAACUUUUAUUUUGUUAAGUAAUUUAUCCAGAUUAUGCAGGUUUUUUAUUUAUCGAAUUUAAAGAAUAUGUUACAUGAAAGUUCGAUACAAAAUACUACGAAAACAGAAAAUAUUUUGAUAUACGAGAUUGUCUUUGCACUCAGACAGUAUUGAUAUUACUGAAAUAUUAAUUCAUAAGGAUACACAUAUAUAUAAUUUUGUAACACGUAUAGAUAUUAAUAAUAAUAUAAGGCUAAAAUGAUUAAAUAUUAUUUUAACAUUUUAAUUCAAUGUGUAAACAAAUACUGUCGACCUCAACUCUUGUUUAGUGUUCCAUUGCGUUGUCGCUUCUGAUGGAUCACAGCUGUAUGUUACCGACUAUGAUGACAACAAGCUCCUCACCCUGUCUAUUGACGGGACGGUCCUGUCAUCCUUUGAAGAUCCUACACUUCAAGGUCCUACAGGUGUACAAGUGUCAGAAACAGGACAGUUGCUGGUCUGUUGGUUGGGGUCACACGGCGUUAUCCAAAUGAAUUGUGAGGGAGGACUGGCAACACUGGUUUGCGGGGAUGAUGACCUGUGUCGUCCAUGGUCUGUGCACUACACUGCAAAAAGUAAAAGGUUGUUUGUUGGACACGAUAGUGAUGAUAUUCUUGUAAUCGAUAUACAGUGAUAUACAGUGAGAUGAGAAGAGAAUAAGUGUGACCUAUAUUAAGCAAUACAUGCACAACUAUCAUGCUAAAAUCGUAUACAUGUACACACUAACGAAAUCAAUAUGCAGUAGUCUAAUCGUUUUUAAAAGAGUAUUAUAACAAUAUGUACAACAUCGGUAUUUUGCAUAAAUUUACUUUAAGCACUGUGCAUGCGAUUAUUAUAACAAAACAAAGACUUACACUUUUGUUGCACGGGGCUUACACGAAGAUCAUACAUGGGCAUGCGUGUAACUAUUAAUGUGAACAAAGUUACUGAUGACUUUGGCAGAUGCGUGGAGGCAUGUCAGUCGACGAGAAGUGUCUGCAUUUAAAUGCUAUAAUGAAAGGAUGAUAGCUGGACUUUUCAUUGUUGGUUGUCUUGUGAAAUAUACGUGGACGAUUGAGAACACCGAGUAUGUCUUAAAUGAUAUGACCAUUGAUUGUCGUAUUAUAUAGGUCGUAUGUAUAAUGUUGCAAAGCCAACAUUUAGAGACACCAACGAUUUGCUUCAAUUUAUUACAUCGUAUUUAAGUUAUAUCAGAAUAUUUUAUUAUGAACUUUCAUUGUUUGAACUUGUCAAAUGAAAAGAAGUGAUUUUUAAGGGACUUGUUCACAUAUUUAUUUUCGAUUUUUAUUAAUGAUGAUCAAUAAACGAACAUAUGCUUUUACCAUGAGUCUUGGUCAGUUUAAUUUUGCUUGUUUAAGAUAAUGUAUUAUUUUUUGUAAGACAAUUUUAUUUAGUAAGACAAUUUUUUAAUGGUCGGUUUGUCAUACUGUGAACAGAUCCCUGUAAAGAUUAUAAGAUACAUAAAUAAUACUAUAUUCAUUGUUAACGCACGAAAUGAAUUUUAAUUAGUACUUAUUAAAUAGUUGUUUAUGCGUGUGUUUGUAAGAAUCGUCACAAAGAUUUCCUUUCCCCACUGACUGACCGACCGGCAGCCUAAGGCGUGAAAGGACCUCUUACUUUGAAAUAAGCACACACCUCUAUGGAAUGAUAUUUAGGUAAAAAUUACAUCAUUCAUGGUAAAUAUUUACAAUAUGAUUGACGUUUAUUCUUAUUUGCUUCAUAACAAUUCCAAUAUGA